Vicia villosa (hairy vetch) is the source of this 2264-nucleotide long non-coding RNA. RefSeq lists it as uncharacterized. The record is from RefSeq and is a predicted model, not a curated record. Lineage: Eukaryota; Viridiplantae; Streptophyta; Magnoliopsida; Fabales; Fabaceae. The transcript has 8 exons.
UUCUCUUUCACGAACUAUUUCAUUCUUCUUCUUCCUCUUCCUCCUCAUCUUCUUCUUCUUUUUCCUUCUUCUUUCACGAAAAUUGACAAAGCGAAACUGAAGUUGGGAAUGAAACCCUAACCUUCAAUAGUUCAAAUCUCUAAACUCUUUUUGCACUUCAAGAUGGCAAAUCCCUAACCCUAACGAUUGUGUUUGAUAAACAUGUAAGAUUGGUGGAUUGCAUGCGACGGGGAGUAGAAGUUCGAUGAAUAAAUCGUCUGAUUUUGAUGAUUUGAUGGCUGGAUUUGGUGGCGGUAGCAUCGUUUUCAAUAAUGGGUUCAUGCUUAUUAUGGAUUUGGUAUUAUCUCAUCUUCUAGAAAUAAGGAGGGAAAGAUCAUUUUCCUAUGGUUAUAUAUGAAAUUGUUGGUUGUUUAAAUUGGUACAUACAAAUAUAACACCAAAGGUCAAAUUUGACACCACCUACUUCCACCCCAAUGUAGAUAUGCAUGGCAAUAUAUGCCUAGAUAUUCUUCAGAUAAAUGGUCAUCUGCUUAUGAUGUAAGAAUGAUUCUUAUAUCUAUUCAAAGCCUACUAGGAGUUUAGAGCCAAACAUUAGCUCUCUGCUAAAUCCACAAGCAGCGCAGCUUUGGCGCAAUCAAGAAGAAUACAGGAAGAUGGUAGAGGAGUUGUACAAAUCUCCUGUGGCUUAAUUUAGAUCUGAGAGUUCUCAUGGAUUUUAUUUCUCUAUGUUUGGCUUGGUCAAGUUUGGAAAAGAGAAGUUGUUCAAAAACUGUGGCAAAGGUGAUAUUCGGUGCAAAGUCGGUUAGUUAUGCUACUGCAAAUAGUCUUCAUUUGGUUUUGUGGUAUAGGUUUUGGCUUUGGAUCAUGUUCGGUUCAAAAAAUUCCGGCGGUUUCUUGGUAGUUCAAAUUGUGACUAUUACUACUAUUGUGUUCUGACUUUUGGUAUUUAUUGAAUUCUCCCAAAUGAAUGUUUAAUCUCUUUUUAGGUGUUUUAAGACAAACUAAGGUUACAUUUCUAUAUAUCUCUUUUGAUAUCUUUAAAUUUAAAGAAUUUUGUUUAAUUAGUUUAGGACUUCAAUUUAACUAUUGCACUUUUCAGUUGCUUGGCACAUUUUUUAGUGCUGAGAUGCAUAUUCUUGAAUCGAAAGAGCUUAAGAAGAGGAUGAAGCAUAUUUUGGAAAUUAUUGAAGAGGUGAAAUGGCAAGAUGUUGACCCUGACUUGCUAACAAGGUUUCACUUCGUCUUCGCUCUGUCUCUUCUCUUGUGUCCCAUGGUUAUUAUGUUAUGUCUUGCUACAGCCUACAUCUAAGCACAUUAUAGAGAAGCAGAAUGUAUGAGAGUCAAAAUGGAAGAUUUACUAUAUAAAUACGGUAUUGACGUUGUGUUCAAUGGACAUGUAAGCAUAUUUCUAUUUAUGGUUUAGGAUGUCGCGUGACUCAUUGGUUUUGAGUUCGAGUCAACUAAUGAGCGCAUAAUCCAAUGUCUGGUCACAAACUUCUUCAACAUCUCAAGUUACUCAUGACAAAUUGCUGUCAAACUUCUAUUUAUUGCUUUGUUUUUUUCUUAGUCUAUUGAUUUUGUAUUUGUUCUCAAAAUAGUUUUUGACAUUUUCUUAUCAAACCAUACUUUUCGUCUCGCAGAUCACUACAUUUUUUUAAAUCCUUUUGUUCAAUUAUAAUCAUGCUCAUCAAUAUGUUUUCUACAUUUUUCUAUAAUCCUACUGAUGUGUUAUAAUGACGCUGAUCAACAAGUUUUCUACAUUAGCUUAAUAUUCUUCUGAUCAAUAUUAAUCAUGAUAUAUAUACUAAUGGAGAUCGAGGAUAUGCGGCAGAUCUAUCUGAUUAGGUACAUUAUUUUGACACAACCAGCAGAUGAAACCAGCAAUAAGAAUGUUGGAAGACAUGUGGCAUAUCUUUCUAUAGCAAGGGUAUAGAAAAUGUGAUAACUAUUGAUUUGCACGGGCAACACGUGAAACCCGCAAUGAGAAUGCUGAAACUCCGCCUUCUAUUUGGAUCAUAUGUUUCGUCUAUUUGGAUGAAAAGGAUCAUCACACGAUGUGGAUCAGGAAAGUUGAAGCUGAAACAAUUGAAUCUGCAAUCUUUGUUUCAAUUUGGAGCAACCAAAGUAAUUGAGAGAUAGAAAAGGUUUAUGAAUAGAUCUGUGAGAAACGUGCAAAUUGAGCUCAAUUAUGGAAAUUUUAAAUUGGAAAUGAGACUUGGGAUCUAAAUUCUAUAGUAAACAAGUUAUUCAUGUUUGUUGCUUUU